ACCAAUAGCCUUACCUGGUAACCAUAUACGGUAAUUUUAGAGGAAUGACUGAUCCUCGAUUCAAGUAUUAUAAUCGAUAAAUAGUAGAAAUAUUAAAAUGUUCGAUAAAAGCAUCCUACUUACACUCUUUCAUCAACAACAUAAAGAAUAUUCUAAUAGAUGUACUCUGUAUAACUAAAGUGUCUUUCGAUUGGAUAUUUUUUUCUGAAUUAUUCUGGUUAUAGGAAUCCCAUUUCUAAGGCGAUAUAAAGAGAUUGUGUGUCUGAGUGGCUGUUUAUUCUCCAGAAUGGAAAGUUGUGCGCACGCGCUGCCGUUUCUUCGUCAGAUUCAUCCCCUAUUACCACAUACGUGCAACUUCGGCCGAAUCUUGCAAUCACUCUUCCAAAGCAGCUUUCUUUCCCUAAAAAUGCAUAUUAAAGGGUUCAAUGUGGUGCACCGAAUGUUGCAUGGAAACAGAAACACAUGGAAACGAUUUUAGUAGGACAACCGAAUGUUAAGCGUAACAAAUACAGAGAAUAAUGGAUUAGUAUUGGAGAACAGAAUUUGGUACUUUAUCGAAGAAUGUAAAAGUGGAAUGCAAUACAUUGUUGAACGAUUAUCGUUAUUAUGUAUCGAGUCAAAUAAAAUCAAGACCAGCUGAAGCAUUAAAUGCAAGAUGUAAGCGUUGAAUAAUGAAGUAUUAGAAGGUUAUUAAAAAGAAACAAUUAUUAUGGCUGAGUAGAACCCAGUACAACUGAGUAUUAAAAAAGUAAAUCGAAAAAUGUGAAUUAGAUUUUCGACAAAAUAUUUAAAUAUGGAUUUUUAUUUCUUGAUACGC
Molecule: non-coding RNA, 817 nt
Organism: Nomia melanderi (Alkali bee)
Lineage: Eukaryota; Metazoa; Arthropoda; Insecta; Hymenoptera; Halictidae
Source: RefSeq, a predicted model, not a curated record